RNAcentral lists this ribosomal RNA (451 nucleotides) under uncultured organism. RNAcentral's name for it is "partial 16S ribosomal RNA". It matches the Rfam family "Bacterial small subunit ribosomal RNA", at positions 333 to 800 of the family's 1533-position model. The record is from RNAcentral.
ACACUCCUACGGGAGGCAGCAGUGGGGAAUAUUGGACAAUGGGCGCAAGCCUGAUCCAGCCAUGCCGCGUGAGUGAUGAAGGCCCUAGGGUUGUAAAGCUCUUUCACCGGAGAAGAUAAUGACGGUAUCCGGAGAAGAAGCCCCGGCUAACUUCGUGCCAGCAGCCGCGGUAAUACGAAGGGGGCUAGCGUUGUUCGGAAUUACUGGGCGUAAAGCGCACGUAGGCGGAUCGAUCAGUCAGGGGUGAAAUCCCAGGGCUCAACCCUGGAACUGCCUUUGAUACUGUCGAUCUGGAGUAUGGAAGAGGUGAGUGGAAUUCCGAGUGUAGAGGGGAAAUUCGUAGAUAUUCGGAGGAACACCAGUGGCGAAGGCGGCUCACUGGUCCAUUACUGACGCUGAGGUGCGAAAGCGUGGGGAGCAAACAGGAUUAGAUACCCCUGUAGUCCCAUGA